CACAGAGAUUGCAACUGAAAGAGGGAGAGACAGAGACAGAGAGGCUGAGACUGACACAGACACUCAGAGAGAGGAGAGAAACAGAGAUUGGCAGGAGGUUCGGGAACUCCAGGAGCAGCUGGCCCGACAGCAGGUCCAUGUGGAGCUUGACAUGGCCAAGCCAGACCUCACCGCAGCCCUGAAAGAGAUCCGCACGCAGUAUGAGGCAAUGGCGUCCAGCAACAUGCAUGAGGCGGAGGAGUGGUACCGCUCCAAGUUUGCAGACCUGACAGACGCUGCUGCCCGCAACGCGGAGCUGCUCCGCCAGGCCAAGCACGAGGCCAACGACUACCGGCGCCAGUUGCAGUCCUUGACCUGCGACCUGGAGUCUCUGCGCGGCACGAACGAGUCCCUGGAGAGGCAGAUGCGCGAGCAGGAGGAGCGCCACGCGCGGGAGGCGGCCAGUUAUCAGGAGGCGCUGGCGCGGCUGGAGGAAGAGGGUCAGAGCCUCAAGGACGAGAUGGCCCGCCACUUACAGGAGUACCAGGACCUGCUCAACGUCAAGCUGGCCCUGGACAUCGAGAUCGCCACCUACAGGAAGCUGCUGGAGGGCGAGGAGAACCGGAUCAC
This 609-nucleotide small RNA is filed under the name Pongo abelii (Sumatran orangutan). RNAcentral's name for it is "processed transcript". The record is from RNAcentral. Lineage: Eukaryota; Metazoa; Chordata; Mammalia; Primates; Hominidae.